Molecule: non-coding RNA, 1892 nt
Organism: Poecilia reticulata (guppy)
Lineage: Eukaryota; Metazoa; Chordata; Actinopteri; Cyprinodontiformes; Poeciliidae
Source: RefSeq, a predicted model, not a curated record
UUUCCCUGCAGGAAGUUGGAAUUACAUCACACUCGAAAUGAGUGAGUUCUCGAGGAGAGUUUGAUUUGUCUUAGAAGUUGGAGCUUAGAUCUGCAAAUUACACCACACUAAGAAUCGCCAGUGUCCUCAUUGCAAAAACCAUCAGAAUUUGUCCAACAAGUACAAAGAGAUCACAGAAUGACAAGUCUGAAAACCAGUGAAGUCUGCUGACUCUUUUUAUGGUAACAUCCACCAGCACCACAAGACCAUGACAAAAUAUUUAUCUUAAUUUCAUACAUUUAAGCACAAAAGGAACAUCUGUUCACAAAUACCUGUUUUAUAAUGCAAUGUGUGCCACCGAUUUAAUUAGAAACAGAAGUGCUACUCAGUAGCUUAUUCCUGCUGCUUUUACAACAACUAUGUGCAGCACUGGCAGCAGCUACACUUGGAAUUAAACUCAGUGGUGUUCAGAGACCUCAGGGUUUUCAAAUCAUAAUUCAGACUUCAGGGGGGAAUAUUGUUAUACUUCCAGCUGUUAACCAUGACUUAAAGCCGUUAACAAUCACAAACAUAAAGCUCCAGAUAUUUUUCUUUUUAAUUCUUUAUGUUAACAAUGUUAUUAAAUGUGUGGCAUUGAUAUUAAAGUACUUCUUAAAAAUGAUAUUUGACCUUCAAACUCAGAGACUGAGGCGCAGAUUAAAAAAAAUAUUGCAUCAUAGCAUAGGAGAAAACACAAACCACUAUUGCUAAUUACACGUGGUCUGUUAGUUUCCGAUCAAGUCUUCAACCUUUGCUUUGUUGGCAGGUGUCAAUGACACUGAUAACAACUACAUCAGAAUUCAAGCAAAAAAUAUUUUAGGUUGAAGAUUUUCACAAAACAAUCGCAGCUUAUUCUUUGUUGAUGCUCUUUCCUCUUAUUAACUUCUUAAGAAGUUCAGAGAUUGAGUCAGCAACUGUCCCUAAAUCUAGCUAAUUGGAUCUUUGUACAACUUUAAUUUCAAAUGUAAUCAAUAGAUGAUUUUUUUAUUUAUUUAUUGCCUAUUUGGACAAUAUUUUAUUCAGUUUUUGAGUUGGUUCGUCUUACUUGAGAUGAAAACUGGCCUUUCAUCUCAGGUUAAUAUCUUUAUGUCACGCAAAGACAUCCUAUUUGUUCAAGUUGGAAAAUUGGCAUAGAAAUAAUGAUCAUCAUACUCUUUCUGCCAAGUAAUUGAGCACUGUGCUCAAAACUGUGUGAGUUUUAACUCCAGCAGACAUGAUUUAUUUCCUAGCAGCCAAUUUGUCAAGACUCCAACAUGAGACAAAUAAGUCUGCAGUGGAAAAAUGAAGCUGAAAGUUUGCAUCACUCAUGUCAAAGCAGCGGUGGCAUGCCAAUCAGAGCGAUCUCCACAGAGUGGAGGGCAUGGAGCGGAGCAAGCAUACCGAGGCGUUACCGUGACACCCCCCCAACCCUAUCCUCCCACACACAUACAGGACAGCCGCCUGAUAAGAACGCACCUCUCCAGAAUAACAAUGAGACGCAGCAAUGUGAUACUGGCACCAUCUCCAAUGAACAUCGAGGAACGAAGAAAAAGACAAAAACAAAGAGGCCUUUUAGUGCGAGACAUCCAACAGAUGGCUGGAACCUUUCGAAAACACCGUUCUAUGUUACCUCUGAUGGCCUUGGCAGUUUGGUGCAAUUCCUCUGAAGGGGACACUCUAAAUUCAUGAAACAGGAGAAGAAAGGAAAAAUGUCCUCAAAGUCAGAUUCAGUUGAAUACAUGAAUAAUUUAGAGCACUGAAAGAUUUGCGGCCCUCAAAUCACAAAAAACAGGGAUUCAUUAUUCAUCUGUUUCAAACUGGGAGAUAUUUUAUGCACAACUUACACCAUGCUGAUGUUCUGAGUACAAAACAAAGCCUCUUGUCCUUCUGGAAAA